This 567-nucleotide ribosomal RNA is filed under the name uncultured eukaryote. RNAcentral describes it as "SSU rRNA". It matches the Rfam family "Eukaryotic small subunit ribosomal RNA", at positions 4 to 569 of the family's 1831-position model. The record is from RNAcentral.
CUGGUUGAUCCUGCCAGUAGUCAUAUGCUUGUCUCAAAGAUUAAGCCAUGCAUGUCUAAGCACAAGCCGAUUAAUGGUGAAGCCGCGAAUGGCUCAUUACAACAGCCAUAGUUUCUUAGAUCUUACUUUUCUACUUGGAUAACUGUGGUAAUUCUAGAGCUAAUACACGCAAAAAAGCUCAGACCUUACGGAAUGAGCGCAUUUAUUAGAACAAAAACCAAUCGGGCUUCGGUCCGUCAUUUGGUGAAUCUGAAUAACUUUGCUGAUCGCACGGUCUUCGUACCGGCGACAUAUCUUUCAAAUGUCUGCCUUAUCAACUUUCGAUGGUAGUUUAUGCGCCUACCAUGGUUGUAACGGGUAACGGAGAAUAAGGGUUCGACUCCGGAGAGGGAGCCUGAGAAACGGCUACCACAUCCAAGGAAGGCAGCAGGCACGCAAAUUACCCACUCCCGGCACGGGGAGGUAGUGACGAAAAAUAACGAGACGGCUCGCUAUGCGGUCCGUCAUCGGAAUGGGUACAAUUUAAAUCCUUUAACGAGGAUCUAUUGGAGGGCAAGUCUGGUGCCA